AUGGCAGAUCGCUGGCUGGAGCUGCCCAAUCUGGCCCUGCAAGUGGUGGGGAUCUUACCGGAGGUCCAGAGGCCUAGCAGCAUGGUCCCUCGCUGCCAGAAGGUGGCUUACACGGCCAUUUCCCUCCUCAUCUACCUUGUCGGCAGCCAACUGCCUGUGUAUGGAUAUGGAGUCCGUUCUCCAUCGGUUGCUGACUCUCAGUACUGGGUUGACAUGCCCGACUGCAACUCCGUCAUGUCUGCUGGGAUCAUGCCCCUUGUUCUGUCUGAGGCGGUGCUUCAUUUCCUGCUGUGGUGUAAGGUUCUUAGAGCAAACAAUCCUGAGGACCGGAUGCUCCUGAGUCGGGUGCAGAAGUUGGUUGGGAUAAUUUUUGCCGCUGAUUUCUCAGUCUGCAGGGUGCUAAUUUCACCUAUCUUGGGCAAACUGACCUUAGGGCAGUCAAUUCUGAUCGUGCUUCAGCAUUUCUUUGGAAGUGUCAUCGUCAUUUAUCUUGAUGAUCUCCUUAAAAAGGGAUAUGGGUUUCUUUCGAGUAUCCCCUUGUUCAGUGCCACCGACAUUUGUACAAGUAUUUUCUGGAAAGCUUUUAGCCCCUGUAUCAUAAAGCUAUACGGUGGGCAGCAUGGUGAUCAACAUGGGGAAGCUCUCACUUCCUCCCUUAUUCAUCGAUUCGUUGGUAAUGGAAACUACAAAUUGUCUUCGAUGCAUAAGGUGUACGGAUGUCGAGACCUCCCGGAGAUGGCUAGUGUGCUUUCCACGUGCGCCUUCUUUCUACUCGUCCUCAGCCUGCAAGGCUUCCAUGCCAUGUUGCCACUGAGAUCCAGUGAGGUGCCUAGUAUGCAAAUGAACUAUGCCAUCAAGCUUUCCUACCUGUCCUUUGCACCCCUACUCUUCCAGGAUGUAAUGGCCAUAUUCCUAUACAUCAUCUCAGAGUUGCUGUACGUGAAGUUUGGUGAAAAGAACAAGGUGGUCAUUUUGCUGGGCAAAUGGAAGAAAUCCAGAUAUUUUGGGCAAGCAGUUCCAGUCAGUGGCUUAGCCUACUACGUUACUACACCACCAACCUUCUGGGGUGUGGCCUUACGUCAUUUUCCCUUUUCAGUGCGUUGGCAGGUUGCUUGGGGAGCGACGAAAUGUAACAGUCGCCCAGCCGGACUCUGUUCCUCUGCAGCUAUGGAGGUGCUAUGUAGGCAAGGCAGCGUUUCUUGUAGGACUCUGCAUUGGUGCACUUACGCUUCUGGCAGACCUUGCUGGCGUGGUCGGCUCUGGCACCGGGAUCAUGUUCGCCCUCACUGUCUUGUACUCGUGCUUGGAAGAGACCAGUUAUAG
This 1323-nucleotide ribosomal RNA is filed under the name Triticum aestivum (bread wheat). RNAcentral describes it as "partial small subunit ribosomal RNA". Lineage: Eukaryota; Viridiplantae; Streptophyta; Magnoliopsida; Poales; Poaceae. The record is from RNAcentral.